CCCCCCCCCCCUCCUUCCCUUGCUGGCCACGUAAAAUUAUUUCUUUCGAAACUGCUCACGAGAACGAUCACAAUUGCAUACAACAAGUUUUCAAAAAAUUUCCCGUCUGCUUGCUCAUACUUGGUGGCACGCUCAUGUACUGCAUGUGUGGCCGCUUCACGUGGCUGCACUGACAGUCUUUGCUUGCUGUUGCAGCAUGCGCGAUACUACAAGUGCAGACGUUUGGUGAACAGAGUCCUUACGAAAACUGUCAUAGACAGGCCUCGAUUUUAGAUAUACGUAUGUACAUUCGUAGGUAGAAAUCUCAACAUUACACAUUUUCAAGUGGCCAAGACAUUGGAAAUGGGCAUUCCCACUCUAAAUGUAGUCAUGAAUCAUGGGACAAUUUUACAGAAAAUUGGCAGUGUCUGUUUACAGAAAGAAAAAAAGCUGGAAUAACCAAAAAGUUGAAAAAUUGUUUGCUUGGUUAUGCAAAAUUUGAGAUCUCAGUGUACCUACCCAUAUGUGGUUUUAACAAUUUGUUUACAUAGAGUCCACUAGUAACAAAGUUCAAGUGCUGACAAGUGCAAAUUGAUAUUUCCUGUUUAUAACAUUUUCCUGCUUUUUUUUUUUCCUUACGCCCCCUUGAAAAUUUUUAUAACAGGGUUCAAUUGUAUUUAAAGCAUUCAGUAAUUUCAUACAAAUCUAGAAUAUUCUCAAUAAGAAUGACCUCAAUAUUAGCCCGGUAGAAGUUGGUAGGUUCUUUGCUGUGCCACCAGUGAAAAUUCUCAUGAAAAUUACAUACCCAUUUACUGCUAUCAAGCUCAGAUUAAAAAAAUAAAAUUAAAAAAAUAAAAUAAAUCUUCUUGAUUGAAGUUUGCAAUUCUCAACAAAAAAAAAUUCAUAAAAAUGAUUUUGGUAAUAUUUUAGAAGAGUUAUAAAAAUUUCAAAUGGGCUUCGAUAUUGUGAGUACCAAAAGAAAAAUUAUUUUUUUUUAUUUGCAAGCUAAUUUCAAUUAGGUACUCUUUGAUUAAGGCUGGGUUGUAUCACAAAUUGUUUCAAACAUUUACAAAAAAUAUUUGUAAUGUUUAGAAUGUUUACAAUAAAUUUUGAUGGAUUGAAUAAUGUACUUACAAGUUAGUUUUUAUGUCCUUUAACCCAUAUUUCCUCACCAGUUGAGCUAAUGGUUGGAGUUAAAAUGUUUCCACAAAUAUUUUGUUAUCACACUUACAUAGGAGGUACAAUAACUUAAAACGAAUGGAUUUAUAUUCAUUCUAAGGUAAUUAUUAUAGUAAUUUUUAAGUUUUUUGAAAACCUGUCCCGUUUGUCAAAAUUUUGCACACUAACAAACCUACCAAAAUGUUUCAUUCUUAUAAAUUAUUUAUAUUGGCCUGAAAUAAUUCAACAAAAUAACUGCAGUAUUCUUGACCAUAAAAAUAAUAUAGUAUGCGUACAAAAACAAAUAUUUAUGGAUAGUUAUUAAAGUAUAAGGUAAAUAUCUAGGAGAAUGGCGCAAAUUAAAAGGCAGUUUUUUACUUCCUUUAAGUGCUGUUUUUCCUACAUAUACGAGCACUACAAGCAUUCUUUGAUUUUCCCCAGGAAAGGUCAUUGUUAUAUUCACACUGGUUCCUGAAAUACUUGGUAGUGCGAAAGGGGAUGAAGUCCAGCAAAAUAGUGUCGUAACAGUAAUUAAAAACAAGACGAACAUCAAUUUGAAAAUUAUUAAAAUUGCUGCAACAAAACAAUUUGAAAAUAUUAAACAACAUUCAUUAGAAUUUAUGGUUUUUAAAUUACUAAAUAAAGUGUGUGCCAAUUUCAACACCGUUCUAGUGUGUGGAAUUUUCUAUAAUCAAGUCAAAAUUUAAAACACAAUUUUGGGCGGAAUUUUUUUUUUUUUUUAAGACAUUUUCAUGGUAUUUUUGAUGUAGCUGAUUCAAGUAAGCAACUAACUGUUCACUUUGUUUUAAAACCUCAAUGAGUGCAAAACUCAGAAUAUUAACCUUUCACCUAAUCUAGGGAAUUAAAUGUUUCACCCAAUUGUCAGUACCAAUGAAAACAUUGUCCUCAAAAAUACAAUCGUCUUCCUACUAACAAUACAAAUUCUAAAUCUGUGUGUUACCAAUCAGUUCCUUAACGACUAACAAAUUUGCAUGAAAUUUAGUAUAUAGAUACUUAGGUAUAGGGAUAUUAUCUAAGAUAAUUUUCAUUCUAGAAGUGGGAUUGUAACAAAACAAUUUCUAAAUUUCUAAACAAUUGCAAUUUCAAAAGAAAUAUUUUAGCAUAUUCAAUAGGUGUACAUCCUGCAAUAACAAGAUAUUUAUUCCAAAAAAAUUUAAGUACCUGCCUACAGUUACAGUACAGUAGUAUCUCAAGUCGACUUAGCUUUUUAUAAAUUAAACUUUUUUCAUUUGGACUUUGUUGAUUUUUCUUUACGGAUAGUUUGUUCUAUUAAGCAUCUGAUGCUCUCUGUUUAGCCUCAGAUUUUUUUGUACUUCGUUUGUUUUGUAUUUUAUUGGUUAGGUUUUGGCUGUAGUAUCUCAAUUCUACUUAGACAUUUGUAUCACGAAUUUUAUUAUAUUUGUGUGAUUUGGUUUUUAUGUAUUUAUUUUUCAGAAUUAUGACUGGCAAGCUUAAGAUAAACGUUUCGCAAAGCUCAACCAAAGCUGGAGUUACGAAGGUAGUUAGAUGACUCGAAACACCGCCUCGAGCGGCACUGCGGCAAAUGGAGCAGGUUAGGUAGAGCAUCAGGCGGACGCCAGAGCUGCUGAAAUUCCGAAGCAGUCGCAAGAGAGGAGACAGCAUAACGCCGAAUAUAUUGCGUGUCUGUGUGCUGCUGAAACACGACGUCAACGGCACACCAAGAAUAUUGCGCCUCAGCGUGCUGCUGAGACACCAGCGCAGUCUGAUGCUCAAGAUAAACAGAACGCAGAGAAUAUGGGAUCUCGGAGACAGUAGUACAGGUGGAUCACGCCGAAUCGCAUCUGCUCAGAUACGAGCCGAGUAACGACAAAUAUUUUCAAGAAACACUCGACUAUGACAAAAUCUUAAAUUCCAGUCAUCACAGGCUCAUAAAAAUUAAUAAGACUCUAAACAGUACACGUAAACUUUGUUGGUCAUUAAUAUGGAAGAGAAAGAUGGCGGGAAUGAGUUGCUCAGGGGCCAAAGAAGGUUAUUCCUCUAUUAAAAGAGCCUGUAGAACCAUUCAAGAAACUAAUUUCUUCAGAGACAAUGAGUCAUGGAUUUUCCUCAAUCAGAUCAGAAAAUAUAAUUCAUAAUUACUUCAUAGGAUUGUUACGAUGCCAGGAUUUUCACCCAUGUUUACUGUGAGGGGGCAAGUCUACCACACAAUAGGAUCAUUAUUAUCAACCUCAAUUGGCCAGCCACGAGGAAGCCAAAACAGAUAGAUGUUGUCAAACUAUUCAGGGGGUUGAAAAGGAAUACUGUGCAAAAAAUACAGUGUGUGCUUCAAGACAAUUAUUUAUAUAAUACUUCUAUUGACUAAAGUAUUUCAAUCCAUACACGGAGACCUGAUUCACGACAAUUCAUUCUGAGGCCGCGUUCGUGCAUGUUCGGUUUUGUUUCUUCUCAGUUUUUUAUCCGUGUACCUAAAACCAACACGUAGAGGAUUUGAAAAGAUUCCAUUCAUAGGGUAUUUGUUAGAGUUUUAUUUCGAUUGGUUAAAACAUUGGUAGUUUCUUAGAAAAGUUACAUUUCUGAAUCUUAAAAAAAAAAAAUUACAAUGGAACUAGGCCUACUUUUAAAACUGCUCUCGAGAACAUGACCGAUGACAGUUGCAAAGUGGUCAUACAUGCAGACUUUGCGCAGCGCGGACAGUACGCGAGGCUCUACAAUGCCCAGAACACCAACGAGAUUGCAGUCGUGGUAGCGGAGUCACCACCAGGCGCAAUAACAUACUGCGCGCCCACGACAAUACACUCACCAGGAUCGCCGACAGAUAUCAAUACUACGAUUCUCUCAAGUAUCCUAUUAUUUAUUUAACCAAUAAUGUAUACUAAAACUUAAUUGGCUCGUGCGAAGCCAGGUACCAUAGCUAGUAAAUUAAUUAACUAUUAUGAUUUUCCUUUCACAUAAGAAUUUUUUUAGCACGAAGUCUAAUUUUUUAGAUAUAAACUAUAAUUGAAUUGUUAAAUGGCAAAGCUGUUAUUGUAUUAUUUUGUUACCCUAGACAGAAUAACUUAUCUGUAGCAUGUUCAUGGAAGGGUAUGAUCAUCAUGUUGAAUAUUUUAACAAGAUGUCACUUUAAAUGUUGAUGCUGAGAGUGGUUAAAUUGCUGUGAAUAUGAGUUAUACAUAUAUUAAAUCUACUUUUUUUUUA
Bacillus rossius redtenbacheri is the source of this 4314-nucleotide long non-coding RNA. RefSeq lists it as uncharacterized. NCBI's taxonomy places the organism in Eukaryota, Metazoa, Arthropoda, Insecta, Phasmatodea, Bacillidae. The record is from RefSeq and is a predicted model, not a curated record. The transcript is spliced from 2 exons.